GAAUUAGAAUCCAUGUGCUCACUUUAGCAGCGCAGAAACAGAGAAGAUUAGCACGGCCUCUGUGCAAGAAUGGCACGCAAAUUCAUGAAACGUUCCAUAUUUUU
Molecule: non-coding RNA, 104 nt
Organism: Ictidomys tridecemlineatus (thirteen-lined ground squirrel)
Lineage: Eukaryota; Metazoa; Chordata; Mammalia; Rodentia; Sciuridae
Source: Rfam